Molecule: ribosomal RNA, 482 nt
Filed under: bacterium ROME1139sh
Lineage: Bacteria
Description: bacterial SSU rRNA
Rfam family: Bacterial small subunit ribosomal RNA
Source: RNAcentral
UUAGAGUUUGAUCAUGGCUCAGAUUGAACGCUGGCGGCAUGCUUUACACAUGCAAGUCGAACGGCAGCGGGGGCUUCGGCCUGCCGGCGAGUGGCGAACGGGUGAGUAAUGCAUCGGAACGUGCCCAGUCAUGGGGGAUAACUACGCGAAAGCGUAGCUAAUACCGCAUACGCCCUGAGGGGGAAAGUGGGGGAUCUUCGGACCUCACGUGAUUGGAGCGGCCGAUGUCAGAUUAGCUAGUUGGUGAGGUAAAGGCUCACCAAGGCGACGAUCUGUAGCGGGUCUGAGAGGAUGAUCCGCCACACUGGGACUGAGACACGGCCCAGACUCCUACGGGAGGCAGCAGUGGGGAAUUUUGGACAAUGGGCGCAAGCCUGAUCCAGCCAUGCCGCGUGAGUGAAGAAGGCCUUCGGGUUGUAAAGCUCUUUCGCAAGGGAAGAAAACGUGUGGGCUAAUAUCCUGCGCGGAUGACGGUACCUUAC